AUGCCUCCUCGUCGACUCCCUGCUUCACGCCUCAUCGCCGGAAGCUCGCGCCAAGUCCGCCUUCCGUCGACCACAGCCCAGCCACUCCCAGCCCACAUGGCCUUCCGUCCGCAUCAUCCCACGCCGGACCUCGCCGGAAGGAGCAGCAUCGCCCACAUCCAUGGCGCCCCUUGCCUCGUCUCGGUCCGGUGGAUCCGGACAACCAAGUCCUCGCUCCCCCUUCAUCCCGCUCGCCGGACCUCUGCUCCCAGCCACCAGCGCCUUGCUCUCCCAUCUGCUUCGCCCGUGCACGAGCAGGACGAACCCGCCCUACUUCGCGUCCGUCCAGGCACGAGCGUGUGCGUGCGCUGA
This 351-nucleotide ribosomal RNA is filed under the name Triticum aestivum (bread wheat). RNAcentral's name for it is "partial small subunit ribosomal RNA". Lineage: Eukaryota; Viridiplantae; Streptophyta; Magnoliopsida; Poales; Poaceae. The record is from RNAcentral.